RNAcentral lists this ribosomal RNA (818 nucleotides) under uncultured bacterium. Its description in RNAcentral is "bacterial SSU rRNA". It matches the Rfam family "Bacterial small subunit ribosomal RNA", at positions 48 to 866 of the family's 1533-position model. The record is from RNAcentral.
UUAACACAUGCAAGUCGAGCGAAAGUGCUUAGAACAGAUCUUCUUCGGAGUGAAGAUUUAAGUAUCUUAGCGGCGGAUGGGUGAGUAACGCGUGAGAAACCUGCCAUUCACAAGAGGAUAGCCUCAGGAAACUGGGAUUAAUACUCUAUGAUACUAAUUUAUCUCAUGAUAUUUUAGUUAAAGCGUAAAGCGGUGUUUGAUGGUCUCGCGUCCCAUUAGCUAGUUGGUGAGAUAAAAGCUCACCAAGGCAACGAUGGGUAACCGGCUUGAGAGAGUGAACGGUCACACUGGAACUGAGAACGGUCCAGACUCCUACGGGAGGCAGCAGUGGGGAAUAUUGCACAAUGGAGGAAACUCUGAUGCAGCGACGCCGCGUGAACGAUGAAGGAAUUCGUUUCGUAAAGUUCUGUCCUUGGGGACGAUAAUGACGGUACCCAAGGAGGAAGCCCCGGCUAACUACGUGCCAGCAGCCGCGGUAAUACGUAGGGGGCGAGCGUUGUCCGGAUUUAUUGGGCGUAAAGGGUACGCAGGCGGCCAUAUAAGUCAGGUGUGAAAUCCUAUAGCUUAACUAUAGUAAGCACUUGAAACUGUGUGGCUUGAGUCAAGGAGAGGAAAGUGGAAUUCCUAGUGUAGCGGUGAAAUGCGUAGAUAUUAGGAGGAACACCAGUGGCGAAGGCGACUUUCUGGACUUGUACUGACGCUGAGGUACGAAAGCGUGGGGAGCAAACAGGAUUAGAUACCCUGGUAGUCCACGCCGUAAACGAUGAGUGCUAGGUGUCGGGGGUCAAACCUCGGUGCCGCCGUUAACACAUUAAGCA